AUCAAAUAUUUUAUUGGAGUAUUGGCCUCCUUGUCUCGAUUCACUGCGCCACUCGCUUGCAGCUUCUCCAUCUCCAUAGUCAUUGUAGAUACCUCAGAGCAACCGAAGGAAUACAAAAAAGGUUAAUCGAAGGUCAUCUCCAAAAUUUUGAUGGAGGAUCUUCCUGAAUCCUUGCUUCUGGAUAUUCUGAAACGAAUAGAUCGAACCGCGGAUAGGAAUUCCCUUUCUUUAGUUUGCAAACGACUGCAUAGGGUUGAGGGGGAGCAAAGGGAUUUCUUACGUGUUGGAUGCAGGAUGCACCCUGCGAUUGAAGCAUUUACUGCAUUAUGUAGUCGGUUUUCAAAUUUAUCGAAGCUAGAGAUUGUCUAUUCUGGUUGGAAGUCGUCUUUGGGUAAGCAGCUGGGGAAUGAAGGCCUGCAGGUUUUGUCUUCUAACUGUCCUUCGCUUGAAGAACUGUCCCUAAAUUUCUGCUCUUUCAUCGAUGAUACUGGCCUUCGGUAUUUAUCUUCUUGCCGAAAAUUGUUGUCUCUCAAGCUAAAUUUUGUUCCGGCUAUCAGCUCUAUUGGGAUCCUAUCUGUGAUACUUGGCUGCAAGAACAUAUCUACCCUUCACCUUAUUCGCUGCAUGAAAGUGAGCAGCACUGAGUGGCUUGAGCUCUUGGGGAAGUUAAGUAAUCUAAGGGAACUUUCCAUCAAGAACUGCAGGCGUAUAAGGGAGGAUGAUCUCAUAAAGCUGGGUCCUGGGUGGAGGAAGCUCAGGAGAUUGGAUUUUGCUGUGGAUGGAUACCCUAAAGUUCAUGACCAUUUAUUGCUCAGUGAGUGCCAUAAGGAAGUUGUUUACUGUGACGAGCUAAAGGAAUUAAGUUUGACAAACUGCAUAGUCGCUCCAGGGCAAGGGCUUUCAUUUAUACUAGGAAGAUGUGUUGCCUUAGAAAAGCUUCUGUUGGACAUGUGCCUUGGGGUAACGCACAGCCAUAUUGUUGCGCUAUCUCGAAAGUCAAGCAACCUUCGUAUCUUAGCAAUGCGCAUCCCUUUGGAGUUUCCUGUGAAUCUUUUUGACAAUAGCCUGUGGGAAUUACAGGAGGACAGUCUGAGGGCAUUAGCAGCUGGGUGUCCAAUGCUUAAUACGCUUGAGCUGUCUUAUUCUGAUUGGGAUUUUCCACCUACGUUAUGCUUCACCCAGGAUGCUGUUAUUGCUCUGAUUCAGAGCUGCCCCAUUCGUGUGUUGAAUCUUUGUGGUUGUGGCUUCCUCAAUGACAUAGGCAUGAAGGCACUUUGUGCAGCACAAAGCUUGCAGGUACUAGAGCUUACAAAAUGCCAGAAAAUUAGCGAUGAAGGAUUGGAACAUAUUAUAAAGUCACCGAGCCUAAAAACUAUAAAGCUUUGCAAGUGUUUGGGAGUUACUGAUACUGGCAUGAAGCCACUUGUGGACUCACAUAAGCUAGAUUUGCUAACAGUUGAAGGGUGCCCCCAUAUUUCUGAGGAAGGUAUAAAAGGGGCAGCAAGAUCUAUCUCAUACAAGAAAGAUUUGUCAUGGAUGUACUAGAUCUAAGCUAUAGAUUAUUUAUUCCUAAAGCUCUGGACUUAUUCUCCAUAAAGUUGAUAGAAGUAGCAUGGGCGAUGUGACUUUAAUUUGAAACUUCAGGUUGGCGGGAGGUCUCAAAGAGUCGCUAGAGAAGUUCCUCGCUGCUGUCACGGAUGAGCUCACUUCACGAGAGGAGUUCUGAAAGAAUCGCUAACAUAUAUUAUUCGUUUUUGUCGGAUCGAAAGCCAUGGGACGGCUCGGGCUUUGCUUUUUGGUUAUUCUUUGGCUUUGCGUUAAGGCAAGGUUUGAAAUAGUCUUUAAUGGAGCUUCUUCUCCUUUUUUCGUUUUUCUUCGAUCAUCCAUGAACGAGCUUUGGAUGGUCUCUAUGAAGGAAACGAUCUUUCAGCCCUUGCGCAAGGUUCUUCGGCUAAAUACCCUAGGUGGCUAGCUUCUUUUUUAUGAAUCCUAAUAU
Dendrobium catenatum is the source of this 1996-nucleotide RNA transcript. It is a transcript of the gene named F-box/LRR-repeat protein 14, with no coding region annotated. The transcript is spliced from 3 exons. The record is from RefSeq and is a predicted model, not a curated record. NCBI's taxonomy places the organism in Eukaryota, Viridiplantae, Streptophyta, Magnoliopsida, Asparagales, Orchidaceae.